AGCCAGCAGCCGCGGUAAUACGUAGGGGGCGAGCGUUGUCCGGAUUUAUUGGGCGUAAAGAGCGCGUAGGCGGCCAGCCAAGUCGUGCGUUAAAUACCCCGGCUCAACCGGGGCACGUCGUGCGAUACUGGAUGGCUCGAGGCCGGAAGGGGGAAGUGGAAUUCCCGGUGUAGUGGUGGAAUGCGUAGAUAUCGGGAGGAACACCAGUGGCGAAGGCGGCUUCCUGGUCCGGUCCUGACGCUGAGGCGCGAAAGCGUGGGGAGCGAACUGAAUUAGAUACUCAGGUAGUCCACGCUGUAAACAAUGGGUGCUAGGUGUCGGGGGUAUCGACCCCUCCGGUGCCGCAGCUAACGCAUUAAGCACCCCGCCUGGGGAGUACGGCCGCAAGGCUAAAACUUAAAUAAAUUGACGG
This 412-nucleotide ribosomal RNA is filed under the name uncultured bacterium. Its description in RNAcentral is "bacterial SSU rRNA". It matches the Rfam family "Bacterial small subunit ribosomal RNA", at positions 506 to 916 of the family's 1533-position model. The record is from RNAcentral.